This 625-nucleotide long non-coding RNA is filed under the name Equus caballus (horse). RNAcentral describes it as "lncRNA (ENSECAG00000051895.1)". Lineage: Eukaryota; Metazoa; Chordata; Mammalia; Perissodactyla; Equidae. The record is from RNAcentral.
GUUACAGUGUCCGAAAAGAUUCUUUUGAAACUGAUGUCAAAGAGUGUACUGCCUAUAUUCUCUUCCAAAAGACUUAUUGUCUCAGGCCUAAUCUUUAGGUCUUUGAUCCAUUUUGAGUUUAUUUUGGUGUGUGGUGAUAAUUCUUUUUUCUUUUAUCUGUUCAGUUUGGGUGAUUUCCUCUAGUUUUUCAUCCAGCUCACUGCUCAGUUCUUCUAUAUCACCUACUCUGCUAUUGAGUCCCUCUAGUGAAUUUUUCACUUCCAAUAUUGUAUUCUUCAUUUCUGAUUGGUUCUUUUUUAUAUUUUCCAGUUCUUUGUUGAUGUUGUCAAUGUAUUCAUCCAUUCUUCUCCCAAGAUUGGACUAGUCUAUUCCUAUCCAUCAUCCAUUCCUCUGUUGGGUCCCAGUCACGAACCUAAGAGGGUAGAGAAAAAGAUCCUUUCCCUCCCCAACAAUUUCUAAAAUGGAGAUUAUAAUAUCUACCCCAGAGAAUUAGCCUUAACAAUUAAAUGAAUGUGGAAUGUUUGGCCCAUAAGUUUCACCGCUUAUGAUGAAGAGAAUGAGAAUACUGCCUACUUCAGUCCUGUGCAAAGAAAUGCAGGUACCCAGAGGGUUCACAGAUAAUCAC